Molecule: long non-coding RNA, 1224 nt
Organism: Mus musculus (house mouse)
Lineage: Eukaryota; Metazoa; Chordata; Mammalia; Rodentia; Muridae
Product: predicted gene, 26626
Exons: 5
Source: RefSeq, marked validated
CUGCCCCCUCAUCUAUUCUAAUCUGCCUUCAAGAGUCCGAAAGCAAAGCCUGCCCCUCCCCCGGCACACAUGGGAGUGCAUUCACGGGCCUCUAAAGGACGAAGCUCUCUGAAUACCUCUGAUUUCCCUGCCCAGGAGCGAAGGGCUUACUUGAGAGUCGACUGGAAAGUUCUGCAGAGAGGCUGGUCAUGCCGCUGGCACGGCCGGGUGAAAUGGGUGUCGCUGGGUGGACAGAGGAAGAGGUGAUGGAUCCCAGUUUGGUUUUAAUGUCCGGGAAAAUAGAACACAACGAUAACCACAAACCCGACAAUGUAAGGACCACAGACCUGCUUGUUCCUGGGCCAACAUUUUAACUUAGAAUCUCCCGGUGAAGAGAUCUCCUGACAUCCUCCCAAUGGUGGAGAGUUUGUCUGAAGGGACGGCACAGACAAGGGAGCUGGCACACACUAAACUCAUCAGACAAGUGCUGCGAUGCAGGUGGAGCCUUGUGCGGUUUUACAGCCGACUGUUCCUGAGGCCCGGAGGUGUCCCGUGAACAAAGGGUCUCACUAACUGCAAUACAAGGAAAAGCAGACAAACCCAUCCUUACGGCAGGAGACUUUAGCACCCUCUUCCAGUCACCGAUAGACCAUGCAAGCAGAAAUUCAGACUCGGCUGACCUGGACAGUAUCAGUUUGACCUACAGAACACCGGUAGGCCGCUCCUUUCUUCUGAGGCACACAGAUCACUCGCUAAGGCAGACUACACUUGAGGCCACAGAAGACUGCUUGGGUUUGAAGGCAUAAUCAUACAAAGUAUUUCCUUAGGCCACAAGGACUUAAACUAAAACCAAACAACACUCUCCCCUCCCCCGAAAAACAAAACAAAACAACAACAAAAACCAGUAACAGAAAUAUUACUUAGAAAUCUUCAAAAAUUGGAGAUUAUCUGGAGAUGCCAUAGCCACCAAAUAAGAGAUCUGAAAAGAUAUGUCGACUGUCAGUUACUUAAUGAAAAUGAAAACACCAACAUUUAGGGACUGGAGACGAGGCAGCUUUGGAAGGGAAAUUUCUGGUUCUGAAAACAUAUUUGAAAGGAAAGCCAGAACGCCAGUAACUAAUGCGUAUGGGGUGAGGAGGGGGAAAGAAUGCCCCACACCCGAGGCAAAGAGAAGUAGCCGUAUCUAAAGUGAUCAAUGAAGCUCACUCCAAUCAGAAGAGUAAAUAAAUGUUCCUGUUUCGAAAA